GAUGAAUCUAUUGUUUGCCAAGCUCUGCUGUUACCGCAGCAGGGGGAGGGCAGCGAAAAGAGGAGUCU
Non-coding RNA from Burkholderiales bacterium, 68 nucleotides. The record is from Rfam. Lineage: Bacteria; Pseudomonadati; Pseudomonadota; Betaproteobacteria; Burkholderiales.